AAAAAAACGAAACUACAACGUCAACGAGUGGCAUCCAGAUUGCAUGAAUAGGCACCAGUGGUGAUAACUGUGGACAAGAAGCUGCAUGAGAGAUGGUUGAUGCUAUUCGAAGCGGUCAAGUGGAUGGAUUCUUCGUUGGUCUUCGCAAUCAGAAUGCCACUGCUGAUUUCGGACAAAGAAUGUCCUCUUCACUUGAAGACGAGAAUGUAUAAAAUCAGCGGCUGCAAAAUCUGAGAGUGAAUUUCUAGCACUUGAAAAGCAAAUCUUCCAAUAAUCUACUUAUGUAUUUACCAAAGAAGCAAUACAUUUGGCUAAGGCCGCCAAUAUAAUGUUUGUCGUGCUGAGCAUUUAAAGUUAUGGAUUGCUAAUAUGGAAAAAACUAUUUCAUUGUAAUACAAUUUUUGUUGAGUCAAA
Molecule: long non-coding RNA, 414 nt
Organism: Armigeres subalbatus
Lineage: Eukaryota; Metazoa; Arthropoda; Insecta; Diptera; Culicidae
Exons: 3
Source: RefSeq, a predicted model, not a curated record